CGGCGGUGGGACAAUGCCAGGCGGGGAGUUUGACUGGGGCGGUCGCCUCCGAAAGGGUAUCGGAGGCGCCCAAAGGUUCCCUCAGAAUGGACGGAAACCAUUCGAAGAGUGCAAAGGCAGAAGGGAGCUUGACUGCGACACCGACGGGUGGAGCAGGUACGAAAGUAGGGCUUAGUGAUCCGGUGGUAUUAAGUGGGAAUGCCAUCGCUCAACGGAUAAAAGCUACCCUGGGGAUAACAGGCUUAUCACUCCCAAGAGUUCACAUCGACGGAGUGGUUUGGCACCUCGAUGUCGGCUCAUCGCAUCCUGGGGCUGUAGUAGGUCCCAAGGGUUGGGCUGUUCGCCCAUUAAAGCGGUACGCGAGCUGGGUUCAGAACGUCGUGAGACAGUUCGGUCCCUAUCCGGCGUGGGCGUAGGAUAUCUGAGAGGAGCUGUCCUUAGUACGAGAGGACCGGGAUGGACGGACCGCUGGUGGACCGGUUGGCUUGCCAAAGCCAUGGCCGGGUAGCCAAGUCCGGAAGGGAUAAACGCUGAAGGCAUCUAAGCGUGAAGCCCCCCUCAAGAUGAGAUAUCCCAUUCUUUAAGAAGUAAACCCCCUUGAAGACGACGAGGUAGAUAGGGCAGAGGUGGAAGUGUGGUAACACAUGGAGCUGACUGUUACUAAUCGGGUGAGGGCUUGACCAAAA
This 686-nucleotide ribosomal RNA is filed under the name Ruminococcus sp. OM08-9BH. RNAcentral describes it as "bacterial LSU rRNA". It matches the Rfam family "Bacterial large subunit ribosomal RNA", at positions 2241 to 2925 of the family's 2925-position model. The record is from RNAcentral. Lineage: Bacteria; Bacillati; Bacillota; Clostridia; Eubacteriales; Oscillospiraceae.